CACUCCUACGGGAGGCAACAGUGGGGAAUAUUGGACAAUGGGCGCAAGCCUGAUCCAGCCAUGCCGCGUGAGUGAUGAAGGCCCUAGGGUUGUAAAGCUCUUUCACCGGUGAAGAUAAUGACGGUAACCGGAGAAGAAGCCCCGGCUAACUUCGUGCCAGCAGCCGCGGUAAUACGAAGGGGGCUAGCGUUGUUCGGAUUUACUGGGCGUAAAGCGCACGUAGGCGGACUAUUAAGUCAGGGGUGAAAUCCCGGGGCUCAACCCCGGAACUGCCUUUGAUACUGGUAGUCUUGAGUUCGAGAGAGGUGAGUGGAAUUCCGAGUGUAGAGGUGAAAUUCGUAGAUAUUCGGAGGAACACCAGUGGCGAAGGCGGCUCACUGGCUCGAUACUGACGCUGAGGUGCGAAAGCGUGGGGAGCAAACAGGAUUAGAAACCCGAGUAGUCCCA
This 447-nucleotide ribosomal RNA is filed under the name uncultured organism. RNAcentral's name for it is "partial 16S ribosomal RNA". It matches the Rfam family "Bacterial small subunit ribosomal RNA", at positions 334 to 797 of the family's 1533-position model. The record is from RNAcentral.